UGGGGAAUUUUGGACAAUGGGCGAAAGCCUGAUCCAGCAAUGCCGCGUGUGUGAAGAAGGCCUUCGGGUUGUAAAGCACUUUUGUCCGGAAAGAAAUCCUUGGCUCUAAUACAGUCGGGGGAUGACGGUACCGGAAGAAUAAGCACCGGCUAACUACGUGCCAGCAGCCGCGGUAAUACGUAGGGUGCAAGCGUUAAUCGGAAUUACUGGGCGUAAAGCGUGCGCAGGCGGUUUGCUAAGACCGAUGUGAAAUCCCCGGGCUCAACCUGGGAACUGCAUUGGUGACUGGCAGGCUAGAGUAUGGCAGAGGGGGGUAGAAUUCCACGUGUAGCAGUGAAAUGCGUAGAGAUGUGGAGGAAUACCGAUGGCGAAGGCAGCCCCCUGGGCCAAUACUGACGCUCAUGCACGAAAGCGUGGGGAGCAAACAGGAUUAGAUACCCUGGUAGUCCACGCCCUAAACGAUGUCAACUAGGUUGUUGGGGAUUCAUUUCCUUAGUAACGUAGCUAACGCGUGAAGUUGACCGCCUGGGGAGUACGGUCGCAAGAUUAAAACUCAAAUGAAUUGACGGGGUCAUAGCUGUUUCCU
RNAcentral lists this ribosomal RNA (586 nucleotides) under uncultured bacterium. RNAcentral's name for it is "partial 16S ribosomal RNA". It matches the Rfam family "Bacterial small subunit ribosomal RNA", at positions 355 to 1375 of the family's 1533-position model. The record is from RNAcentral.